Molecule: ribosomal RNA, 719 nt
Filed under: Paenibacillus sp.
Lineage: Bacteria; Bacillati; Bacillota; Bacilli; Caryophanales; Paenibacillaceae
Description: bacterial SSU rRNA
Rfam family: Bacterial small subunit ribosomal RNA
Source: RNAcentral
GUCGAGCGGACUUGAUGGAGUGCUUGCACUCCUGAAGUUAGCGGCGGACGGGUGAGUAACACGUACGCAACCUGCCCUCGAGACUGGGAUAACUACCGGAAACGGUAGCUAAUACCGGAUAAUUUAUUUCUUGCAUUGUGGAAUAAUGAAAGACGGACCAAUCUGUCACUUGGGGAUGGGCCUGCGGCGCAUUAUCUAUUUGGUGGGGUAAUGGCUCACCAGGGCGACGAUGCGUACCCCACCUGAGAGGGUGAACGGCCACACUGGGACUGACACACGGCCCACACUCCUACGGGAGGCAGCAGUAGGGAAUCUUCCGCAGUGGGCGAAAGCCUGACAGAGCAACGCCGCGUGAGUGAUGAAGGUUUUCGGAUCGUAAAGCUCUGUUGCCAAGGAAGAACGUCUUCUAGAGUAACUGCUAAGAGAGUGACGGUACUUGAGAAGAAAGCCCCGGCUAACUACGUGCCAGCAGCCGCGGUAAUACGUAUGGGGCAAGCGUUGUCCGGAAUUAUUGGGCGUAAAGCGCGCGCACGCGGUUCUUUAUCUCUGGUGUUUACACCCGACGCUCAACUUCGGGUCGCACUGAAAACUGGGGGACUUGAGUGCAAAAAAAGAGAGUGAAAUUCCACGUGUAGCGGUGAAAUGCGUAGAUAUGUGGAGGAACACCAGUGGCGAAGGCGACUCUCUGGGCUGUAACUGACGCUGAGGCGCGAAAGCGU